GCCUCGUUAGCGUAGUUGGAUUAUCGCAUCCGUCUAAUAAACGGUGCCUCAGCACAUCUGAGAUUACAACGGAAGGUCACUGGUUCGAGCCCAGUACGGGGCA
This 103-nucleotide transfer RNA is filed under the name Testicularia cyperi. It matches the Rfam family "tRNA". From Rfam's summary of the family: Transfer RNA (tRNA) molecules are approximately 80 nucleotides in length. Their secondary structure includes four short double-helical elements and three loops (D, anti-codon, and T loops). Lineage: Eukaryota; Fungi; Basidiomycota; Ustilaginomycetes; Ustilaginales; Anthracoideaceae. The record is from Rfam by way of RNAcentral.